GAUGAACGCUGGCGGCGUGCCUAAUACAUGCAAGUCGAGCGAACAGACGAGGAGCUUGCUCCUCUGACGUUAGCGGCGGACGGGUGAGUAACACGUGGAUAACCUACCUAUAAGACUGGGAUAACUUCGGGAAACCGGAGCUAAUACCGGAUAAUAUAUUGAACCGCAUGGUUCAAUAGUGAAAGACGGUUUUGCUGUCACUUAUAGAUGGAUCCGCGCCGCAUUAGCUAGUUGGUAAGGUGACGGCUUACCAAGGCAACGAUGCGUAGCCGACCUGAGAGGGUGAUCGGCCACACUGGAACUGAGACACGGUCCAGACUCCUACGGGAGGCAGCAGUAGGGAAUCUUCCGCAAUGGGCGAAAGCCUGACGGAGCAACGCCGCGUGAGUGGUGAAGGUCUUCGGAUCGUAAAACUCUGUUAUUAGGGAAGAACAAAUGUGUAAGUAACUAUGCACGUCUUGACGGUACCUAAUCAGAAAGCCACGGCUAACUACGUG
This 497-nucleotide ribosomal RNA is filed under the name uncultured bacterium. RNAcentral describes it as "partial 16S ribosomal RNA". It matches the Rfam family "Bacterial small subunit ribosomal RNA", at positions 28 to 507 of the family's 1533-position model. The record is from RNAcentral.